RNAcentral lists this ribosomal RNA (484 nucleotides) under uncultured bacterium. RNAcentral describes it as "partial 16S ribosomal RNA". It matches the Rfam family "Bacterial small subunit ribosomal RNA", at positions 30 to 507 of the family's 1533-position model. The record is from RNAcentral.
AUUGAACGCUGGCGGCAGGCCUAACACAUGCAAGUCGAGCGGAUGAAGGGAGCUUGCUCCUGGAUUCAGCGGCGGACGGGUGAGUAAUGCCUAGGAAUCUGCCUGGUAGUGGGGGAUAACGUCCGGAAACGGGCGCUAAUACCGCAUACGUCCUGAGGGAGAAAGCGGGGGAUGUUCGGACAUCACGCUAUCAGAUGAGACUAGGUCGGAUUAGCUAGUUGGUGGGGUAAAGGCCUACCAAGGCGACGAUCCGUAACUGGUCUGAGAGGAUGAUCAGUCACACUGGAACUGAGACACGGUCCAGACUCCUACGGGAGGCAGCAGUGGGGAAUAUUGGACAAUGGGCGAAAGCCUGAUCCAGCCAUGCCGCGUGUGUGAAGAAGGUCUUCGGAUUGUAAAGCACUUUAAGUUGGGAGGAAGGGCAGUAAGUUAAUACCUUGCUGUUUUGACGUUACCAACAGAAUAAGCACCGGCUAACUUCGUG